GGCCUGGUCGCCAAGUGGUAAGGCAACGGUUUGCAAAACCGUCAUUCACCGGUUCGAAUCCGGUCCAGGCCUCCA
RNAcentral lists this transfer RNA (75 nucleotides) under Candidatus Falkowiibacteriota bacterium. Its description in RNAcentral is "tRNA-Cys". It matches the Rfam family "tRNA". From Rfam's summary of the family: Transfer RNA (tRNA) molecules are approximately 80 nucleotides in length. Their secondary structure includes four short double-helical elements and three loops (D, anti-codon, and T loops). The record is from RNAcentral. Lineage: Bacteria; Candidatus Falkowiibacteriota.